This is a non-coding RNA of Callithrix jacchus (white-tufted-ear marmoset), 4857 nucleotides long. Lineage: Eukaryota; Metazoa; Chordata; Mammalia; Primates; Cebidae. The record is from RefSeq and is a predicted model, not a curated record.
CUAUUCCCAUCCAGCACUACAUUAUGUCUUUCUAAAACUGGAGGGGUAGCCUGUUUUCUCUCUUUCUGUCUAUAUAAUAUAUCACAAUCAGGGAGAAGACAUAGGGUGACAGAACUGUGUGUUCCCAGAAAAGCUGGCGGAAAAAAAAAAAAAGAAAGGAAGAUUACAGAGUUGGUUUGAACAGCAGAAAGGAUAACCUCUGUUGGCUUCACACAAACACUAACCAAUCUGUGAAUCACCAAUUCCUGAUGAGAUAUAAGCUGAAUUUGCAGACAAGCCUUCUAAGACCAGUCCUUCUAAGGGGAGGAAAAAGAGUCUGGCAUUUGGGGCCUUGGCUGUGGAGAGACUGCUCCUCCCAGGGCUAAUUCCUAGAUAUAGAAAAGACCCCUCUGUGAGCAUGCCUGUGAUAUACAAACCAACCAAUCCAGAGCCACAGCCCGACCAUCUCCUCUCUGGAGUUCUCACGCACCAAGUCUUAUCUCAAGAAUCAAGUAAAGUGAAAUGCAGCAUUCCAACUCUCUGUAAGGUUGAAUGAGGGUAUCAGUGUGCUAGAUGGCAGGGAAGCAGGAUUGGAACUCCAGACCCAAGCCCAGGAGCACAGCACAGUCUGGACAACUAAAGGAAAGGUAAAUGUGAUCAUGGCAUGACACAGGGGCAAUGAACUCUAACUAGAAGUCUUCCAUUGCAACUUCUUCAAAAUAAAAGCAAGUCCUCACCUAACAUUGUAGAUUAGCUCUUGGAAACCAAGACUUUAAGCAAAACAACCUACAGCAAGUCCUCAAAUAACACUGUCAUCUUGAUAAGAAAAUUGGUUUUGUUACACAUCCCAUACAUUUUGCUUGAAGCUGCAGUGUCCAAGAACUUAUCAAGGACGUUAAGGACGUACCAUAUCCUUAUGUUACAGCUAGUGCAUGGCCCUUUGCCCUUGUGAUUCCUGCCCCCUGCUUUCCUGCUCUCAGGAAUGUGGAGUUCAAGCAACCACAUCAGAAGAUGAGAAAAUCUGGAAGGAUGGCAGACCAACUAGUCCAAAGUAGCCAACACCUGCGAUACUGUGGAAGCAAUAUACAAGCUCUGAAUCAUUUAACUGAAUUCUUUCAUGGAGGAUAACUUUUAUUUUUUCUAAGCCACUGGUGUGUGGGUGUGGGCAGGCUUGUGUGUGGGUGUAUGUAUAUAUGUGUGCACCUUGCUCACAAGGUUCACUGCCUCCAAUCUUACCUCUCCAUAACCAGAAUAUAUCUCUACAUUGCUUCCCAACUGAUUUCCUAAACCCCAAAUGUGGAGAAUCAAUCCAUUUUCUAAAAAAAAUUAAUAAAAUACACACUUACAGCAUGCUUUCCCAUGGCAUGUAAGAGCAUUCAUAAUCUAGUCCCUGCCCACUGAAGUCUUCUAGUUCACUGCUCCCUCUUGACACCAGCUGCUCUGACGAUGCCAUGGUCUGCACAGCAACACAACUUUAUAUGUGCUUCGGCCACUGUCAAAACAUCUUUCUUCACAGCACCCAUUCUAAAUUAUCUGCAAAAACUCUGCUCAGAUGUCACCUCUUCCAAGAAGCCUUCUCUCCAUUCUGACUGAGGCACAAAUUCAUAGCCUCCCAAGGCCUCUGUUCUUACCUCUACUGUAGCAGGCAUCAAUUGUGUUAGAAUCAUCUUAUUACUUAUCUAUUUCUCCAACCAGACUUCACAGUCAGGAUGUAUGCUUCAUCUCUCUCUCUCUCUCUAGCUCAGCAAAUACAGGUAUUCAUUGAAUGCAUGUUGAAAAAGUAAAUACUUUCAGGAAUGUGCCGAAGGAAGUUUUUGGCAUCUGGUAACUGACAUAUUAAUAAAUGAAAACCUAGCCCUCUUGAUUCUUUGCCCAGGACUGUUUCCAGAACAUCAGCAUUUCCCCACCUGUGUUCUAAUAACAUCUAUUUAGAAAAUGUGAAUAAUGUGUGGGUUUCCAGCCAUGCUACACAGCUUUCAGUUCCGCUAACCUGUCAACCUUACACCACUCUCAAAGCCUCUGACCCCACCCUUUUGGUCUUCUACCUGGAGGGAGGGCACUGGAUCGGCACCCUCCCCCCACUUCCCUGGUUCCCACUGUUCAGCCAUCAUUCCCAAGUGCAAGUUCAGACCCAAGGAAACUACCUGCUCUUGCAGUACUUUUAUAUAUAUGUAUUAUUGCACUUUAGAUUUUGGGGUGCAUGUGCAGAACAUGCAGGAUUGUUGCAUAGGUAUAUACAUAGGUAUAUACAUGGCAAUGUGGUUUGCUGCCUCCAUCCCCCCGUCACCUAUACCUGGCAUUUCUCCCCGUUAUCCCUCCCCAGCUUCCCUACCCACCACUGUCCCUCCCUUAUUCCCCCCCAACAGACCCCAGUGUGUGAUGCUCCCCCCUUGUGUCCAUGUGUUCUCAUGUUCAAGGCCCUCCUAUGAGUGAAAACAUGCGGUGUUUGAUUUUCUGUUCUUGUGUCAGUUUGCUGAGAAUGAUGGUUUCCAGAUUCAUCCAUGUCCCUACAAAGAACACAACCUCAUCUUUUUUUAAUGGCUGCAUAGUAUUCCAUGGUGUAUAUGUGCCACAUUUUCCUUGUCCAGUCUAUCAUUCAUAGGCAUUUGGGUUGGUUCUAGGUCUUUGCUAUUGUAAACAGUGCCACAAUGAACAUAUGUGUGCAUGUGUCUUUGUAAUAGAAUAAUUUAUAAUACUUUGGAUUAUAUUAACCCAGUAAUGGCAUUGCUGGGUCAAAUGGAAUUUCUAUUUCUAGGUCCUUGAGGAAUCACCGCACUGUCUUCCACAAUGGUUGAACUAAAUUUACACUCCCACCAACAGUGUAAAAGCAUUCCUGUUUCUAAUAAUCCUCUCAAACUUGGUUAAAGACUACCCUGAAACUCACCAGUCUCUACAAUUUCCUUAAAUCUCCUUCCUACAGAUAAGGGUUUUGCGUCUUGUAUUUUCGUUAGCGUUAGUUCCUAUCUUCAUGAUUUUCAAAGAAUAUCUAAAGUGGACAUAUAAUGUACCUGCAAAUAUGCUCAGCUUCUUGGAAUAUUAUCCCUCAGACUUUAAACUCAUAGAAAAGAAGCCAGGGGAUCUCUUUCUGGGCUUCAGCUUCUUCUAGCCAUGUUUGUUCUGUCCUUUCAAGUAAGGUCACUGUGCUCCUUGUCAGAGAAACACCAGCCAGGAAGGAGUUUCAUAUCUCGGCUUUAUCUCAGAAAUCUCUUAGCAUUACCUCACACACCCUUAGAAAGGAGCCCAACUUUCCUUGUUCUCUUUGUUUUUCUGACACAGCAGUUAUUGCCCCUGACCUGUGAGAACAGGAUUGCUCAAAGUGCCAUCCAAGAACUACCUGCAUCGGAAUCAUCUGAGGAGCUCAUUCAAUACUAGAUUUCUGAGUUAAACAGAAUCAGAAUUACUGAGACAAGGUCUCAUUAUGUUACCCAGACUGGACUUGUACUCCUGGGCUCAAACAAUCCUCCCACCUCAGCCUCCCAAACAGCUGGUAAUACAGAAACUACAAAGGAAGAGGUUAAACUGAGAGGCUUCCAAUGAUGUCACCAGAGAUGGACUUUAGUAAAAACAAGUAAACAGUACAUGUUUUACUGAGAACCCGUAUGUUCGAUAUCAUGACACUAGCAAGGAAAACAGCAACUGAUCAUCAGUAGCUAAGACUGCCAUUCUCCAUUGGGCCAGGCUCCCACCUGACCCGGGAGGGAUUUAAAAGCCAGAAUCUGGCCCCAGGUAAUCGCAACAGGAGCCAAAGGAGGUAGCACAGCUCAGAGCUGAAGCUUGCUGAAAAGUCCAGAGAGCACCGCUGGCAAGGCUAAAAGCAACACUGCACGUCCACACGCUGGGUUUCAACACUUUUUCACAGAAGCAAAUCCAUAACAGACUCUGAGUGAACUGGGAAAUAUAACUGAAGCAUUCAAAAUACUUUCUGAAAAUCAGUUUGCAUUGACUUAUCUUAAAAUGUCCAGCUCUGAGUAAGCAAGAAAGGUCACAGGAUUUUGUUCAGAUUUGCAAGUAGAAAAGGAAACAUGAGGUUAUACUCAGGAAAUCCUUUUGCUAAGAUGCAAAAAAUCUGAAAAUUAAGAGAUUAUAAAACAUGCACAUUCCAAUUUGCCUCUUCUCUGCUUAACAUCUCUCCAUAACCUGAGACAGCUACGUCUACAGUUGGACUGGACUACAGGCAACAAGCACAGACACAGUAACCUCAAGAUGGGAUUUACAGUGCAGGAAUGGAGGAGCGAGCGACAGGUAUAGAAUGUUCUCACACCUCAACAUUCAGGCUGACACUGCUUCGGAGUACUGCUUUACUGGUACCACUUCUAAGAAAGAGCAAAGCAGACAUACUUCUUUAUCAUCUUCUCUGUGUCUCCAUCUCUCAAUCCUUCUCAAUGACAAUAACUCAUCUCUCUUUCAACCCCUCUCCCUUCCUCUCUCCCACCCUCAACCCUCAUACCCAACCCCUUAUCACUACACUAAGGCCAGCAAGAGGCCACAACCACAGAAGAGCUUCCAGGUGGCAGUGAAGCAGUUCAGUCUCAAAGAAAGCCAGACAGGAGUCCAGAUGCCUACAUUCCUUCUGGAGUUUGCUAUAUGACCUCAGUAUAAUCCCUUCACCACUAUGGGCUUAUUUUCUCAUCUGGAGGAUGAAUAGCUACAAAAAGACUUCUGAGAUCUUUUUCUGCUUUAAAAUUCUGUGAUUUCACAAUAGCUGAAUACAAUUACUAAAUGGGAAACCGCCAGGAUACUGGGGGGUGGUCAGCACAUAGCCAACUUUAUUGUAUUUUUCACUGCAUGCUUCCAAAAUAUCUAUUGCCAAGAAGUAUAUCCAGUUAGACCCUGGGUCCAUGUUUUAAUUUUUAUACACUGUAAUUAAAAACAGAAUGA